Molecule: ribosomal RNA, 472 nt
Filed under: uncultured bacterium
Lineage: Bacteria
Description: bacterial SSU rRNA
Rfam family: Bacterial small subunit ribosomal RNA
Source: RNAcentral
ACGCUGGCGGCGUGCCUAACACAUGCAAGUCGAGCGGAGAUGUCUGGUAGAUUCUUCGGAUGAUCCAUUCAGUCUUAGCGGCGGAUGGGUGAGUAACACGUGGGGUAACCUGGCCCCUGCACAGGGGAUACAGCUGGAAACGGCUGUUAAUACCGCAUAUGCACACGCUGCCGCAUGGCAGAGGGUGGAAAGAUUUAUCGGUGCAGGAUGGGCCCGCGUCGGAUUAACUAGUUGGCAGGGUAACGGCCUACCAAGGUGAUGAUCCGUAGCCGACCUGAGAGGGUGACCGGCCACAUUGGGACUGAGACACGGCCCAAACUCCUACGGGAGGCAGCAGUGGGGAUAUUGCACAAUGGGCGCAAGCCUGAUGCAGCGACGCCGCGUGAAGGAAGAAGUAUCUCGGUAUGUAAACUUCUAUCAGCGGGGAAGAAGAUGACGGUACCCGACCAAGAAGCCCGGCUAACUACGUGCC